UCCCNGUCUCUAGGAUUAUAGGUAUGUGCC
This 30-nucleotide non-coding RNA is filed under the name Rattus norvegicus (Norway rat). Lineage: Eukaryota; Metazoa; Chordata; Mammalia; Rodentia; Muridae. The record is from RNAcentral.